CAGCAGCCACGGUAAUACGGAGGAUCCAAGCGUUAUCCGGAAUCAUUGGGUUUAAAGGGUCCGUAGGCGGUCUUGUAAGUCAGUGGUGAAAGCCCAUCGCUCAACGGUGGAACGGCCAUUGAUACUGCAGGACUUGAAUUAUUGGGAAGUAACUAGAAUAUGUAGUGUAGCGGUGAAAUGCUUAGAGAUUACAUGGAAUACCAAUUGCGAAGGCAGGUUACUACCAAUUGAUUGACGCUGAUGGACGAAAGCGUGGGUAGCGAACAGGAUUAGAUACCCCUGUAGUCCCUGUCUCUUAUAU
Molecule: ribosomal RNA, 301 nt
Filed under: uncultured bacterium
Lineage: Bacteria
Description: partial 16S ribosomal RNA
Rfam family: Bacterial small subunit ribosomal RNA
Source: RNAcentral